Molecule: ribosomal RNA, 374 nt
Filed under: uncultured bacterium
Lineage: Bacteria
Description: bacterial SSU rRNA
Rfam family: Bacterial small subunit ribosomal RNA
Source: RNAcentral
GAUAAACGCUGGCGGCGUGCCUUAUGCAUGCAAGUCGAACGAGGUUAGGACUUCGGUCCGAAGCCUAGUGGCGGACGGGUGAGUAACACGUACGUGACCUGUCCAGAGGUGGGGAAUAACCAGCCGAAAGGUUGGCUAAUACCGCAUGUGGUUACUUCUUAGAAGGAUCAAACCAAAGUCGCAAGACGCUUUUGGAGGGACGUGCGGCCGAUUAGCUAGUUGGUGUGGUAACGGCGCACCAAGGCAGUGAUCGGUAGCUGUUCUGAGAGGAUGAUCAGCCACACUGGGACUGAGACACGGCCCAGACUCCUACGGGAGGCAGCAGCAGGGAAUUUUGCGCAAUGGGGCGAAAGCCUGACGCAGCAACGCCGCGU